RNAcentral lists this non-coding RNA (247 nucleotides) under Candidatus Parcubacteria bacterium. RNAcentral's name for it is "Parcubacteria bacterium T-box sequence". It matches the Rfam family "T-box leader". From Rfam's summary of the family: Uncharged tRNA acts as the effector for transcription antitermination of genes in the T-box leader family. T-boxes are found upstream of many aminoacyl-tRNA synthetase genes and some amino acid biosynthetic genes usually in Gram-positive bacteria. Lineage: Bacteria; Candidatus Parcubacteria. The record is from RNAcentral.
UUAUACCCGAAGGAGAAGUAGGUUAUGGAUUUUAGCUUUAAGAGAGCCGCGGGCGGUGGAAGCGCGGCGCUAAAAUGUAACCGAACGCGCCUUCGAGGAGAUGUCCGCGGGAAAAUCGCGGAUCGGAGAGCCGUCCGUAAUCAAGCGGCAGAGCGUGUUGUCUAUUUUUGAUAAAGCGCUCAUAAGGCGUGUGUGAGGAAAUGCGCACGCGAAGAAAGGUGGUACCACGAGAACUCUCGUCCUUUCA